GAUGAACGCUGGCGGCGUGCUUAACACAUGCAAGUCGAACGAAGUCUUCUAGACAGAUUCCUUCGGGAUGACGAUUAGAUGUACUUAGUGGCGGACGGGUGAGUAACGCGUGGGUAACCUGCCUCAUACAGGGGGAUAACAGUUGGAAACAGCUGCUAAUACCCCAUAAGCGCACAAUGUCGCAUGACAAAGUGUGAAAAACUCCGGUGGUAUGAGAUGGACCCGCGUCUGAUUAGCUAGUUGGUGAGGUAACGGCCCACCAAGGCGACGAUCAGUAGCCGACUUGAGAGAGUGAUCGGCCACAUUGGGACUGAGACACGGCCCAGACUCC
RNAcentral lists this ribosomal RNA (331 nucleotides) under uncultured Anaerostipes sp. Its description in RNAcentral is "bacterial SSU rRNA". It matches the Rfam family "Bacterial small subunit ribosomal RNA", at positions 28 to 339 of the family's 1533-position model. Lineage: Bacteria; Bacillati; Bacillota; Clostridia; Lachnospirales; Lachnospiraceae. The record is from RNAcentral.